CGGACGGGAGUAACGCGUGAGAAUCUGGCUUCAGGCUCGGGACAACAGUUGGAAACGGCUGCUAAUACCGCAUAUGACGAAAGUUGAAAGGAGUAAUCCGUCUAAAGAUGAGCUCGCGUCUGAUUAGCUAGUAGGUGUGGUAAGAGCGCACCUAGGCGACGAUCAGUAGCUGGUCUGAGAGGAUGAUCAGCCACACUGGGACUGAGACACGGCCCAGACUCCUACGGGAGGCAGCAGUGGGGAAUUUUCCGCAAUGGGCGAAAGCCUGACGGAGCAAUACCGCGUGAGGGAGGAAGGCUCUUGGGUUGUAAACCUCUUUUCUCAGGGAAGAAUAAUGACGGUACCUGAGGAAUAAGCAUCGGCUAACUCCGUGCCAGCAGCCGCGGUAAUACGGAGGAUGCAAGCGUUAUCCGGAAUGAUUGGGCGUAAAGCGUCCGCAGGUGGCAAUGUAAGUCUGCUGUCAAAGCGUCUGGCUCAACCAGAUACAGGCAGUGGAAACUACAUAGCUAGAGUAAGGUGGGGGUAGAGGGAAUUCCUGGUGUAGCGGUGAAAUGCGUAGAGAUCAGGAAGAACACCGGUGGUGAAGGCGCUCUGCUGGACCUUAACUGACACUGAGGGACGAAAGCUAGGGGAGCGAAUGGGAUUAGAUACCCCAGUAGUC
RNAcentral lists this ribosomal RNA (661 nucleotides) under uncultured cyanobacterium. Its description in RNAcentral is "bacterial SSU rRNA". It matches the Rfam family "Bacterial small subunit ribosomal RNA", at positions 99 to 795 of the family's 1533-position model. The record is from RNAcentral. Lineage: Bacteria; Bacillati; Cyanobacteriota.